Molecule: long non-coding RNA, 4287 nt
Filed under: Podarcis lilfordi (Lilford's wall lizard)
Lineage: Eukaryota; Metazoa; Chordata; Lepidosauria; Squamata; Lacertidae
Source: RNAcentral
AUGCCCAUACAUCCUUAGAGCGAGAGUGCACUCUGGUGAUGCAUUACACCAAUACAUCAUGGACACAGAGUUUGCUCGGGUGAUGUAUGAGUGCCCUGAGAAUGUAUUUCUCAAAUGGUAGUAUUGUUCAGGGACAAAGCCUAGCCAAAGAGUAGAUUCAAUUUAAUUACAGUGCAAGUGGUAGUCCAAUCCUAGGAGGCACUUUGGCAUCUGAAUGUUGGCACCCUAAAGAAAUAUAGGUUGCUGUUGCUUGUGCCAUUGAGUUACAUCCCAAUGUGCCACAUUUUUUAAAUCUUUUUUUUUUUUUUGCAGGGAGGAAGGAGCACAGGUUCAACAGCUGUUCUGGGCAAAAGGCGGGCAGUCUUUGGAAAAACAGUUUUGGAAGAAAAAGCCAUGAUGGAUGCAGGAUGAAUAGCCAGUCAUAUCCUGUACACAAGAGAAACUAGUGUCUGUGCAAGAGGAACUGGUCCCUAGUCUUCAGGGUAAACAAUCUGUGCAAAUUCCUUCUUGUACACUUAGGAUUGUAGAAUCAUAGAAUCUUAGAGCUGGAAGGGGGUCAUCUAGUCCAACCCCCUGCAACGCAGGAGGAAGCUCUUCUAUAAGCAACCAAUAACCUCUGGUGGUAUGCUGCUGUUACUUUGGUUGUGUAUAUAAUAGCCUGCUCAUUUCUGCUUCCUUACUCCAUCAGUGAAGAUAAUUAUGAGCUAACACAGCCAUAGGCAAACUCAGCCCCCCAGAUGUUUUGGGACUACAACUCCCACGAUCCCUUGCUAACAGGACCAGUGGUCAGGGAUGGUGGGAAUUGUAGUCCCAAAAACAUAUGGAGGGCGAGUUUGCCUAUGCCUGAGCUAACACCGGUCCUAAAGUAUAUGGCCAUAACUAAUACAGUAAUGCAUUUUGGCUGAGGAACUGCUGUUAUUGACAGUGAGGUUAUGAGUCCUUUAAAACUUACUCCAGUAAACGGAACCAGUACUUUAUUUUGAGUGAUAUAAAUACCAUGCCUUGAUUUUAAGAGGGACAACCUGGAACAAAGGAACUUAAAACCAUUUAUUUAGGACUGAAUUGCAACAACGGCUUCCUGUUGCACUAUGCUAAAGGUAUUUACCUGGCAGUGAUGGGAAUGAUUCUGUUGUAUCACCGAUUGCUACUCCAGUGAAGGGUCACUGUGCUUGUUUCGUAUGCAUUUAUGCUCUAAUUGUAUUGUCCCUUUUCUCAGCAAUGCUAAGAUGGUUGUCUUAUCACCAGAUUUGUACGGCUGCUGCGAAGGUUCAUUUGGCAUACAUUUAAACGCUAACUGAAUUCUCACAGACUGUGCUUUUGCAUUCCAUUGCCACGUGACUCAGGCCUUUAUGCACACACACCUGGGAGGUAACUGAGGGUCACACCCUGUGCAUCUGAUGAAAUGGUCUCUAGUCUAUGAAAGCCAAUGCCAUUAUAAAAUGUGUUAGUCUGUAAAAUUUGUUGGUUUCACUGCAACUGACAUGGCGAUCCCUGUGGAAAUUUGCCUUGGCUUCCAGAACAUUCCACUUCCAGGUAAUUUACCCUGAAGUCAUACCCCCCCCCAAACAAAAUGAAAGCACCCAUGACAUGAUGUCCUUUUUCAUUGUGAAUAAUCAUUUGGGUGAGUGAGUUGCAAUGGCUUUCAUUCUGGCUCCUGUUCUGUUCCCUCACCCUUCCUGGACAUUGUUUUCCCUUUAUUAGCCAACGGUUCUAUAGGCAAAGAUAUGCAGUAUCUCCUGGGGAAAGAAAGGAAGGAAGGAAGAAAGGAAGGAAGGAAGGAGAGAAAGAAAGACCUUCUUUGAAAUCCUCUCCACCUUAAAAAUGGGUCCUUCUCUAUUUACCGGUACUAGGCAUGUUCUAAAUUGUUCUUUGUUUUAUUAACCUAUGCAAUUUUACACCUUGUGCACUCCUUCUUGCCUCUGUGCAUUAUUCUGGUCUUGGAUAUUUAUUCUUAGUUAAAUGGUAAGUGCCAGGUACACAAGGUUCUGUUCUCUGGCUUCUACCCCCUACCCCAACACAGCAGCACGUAGCUCACUAGUAGCGGCUGCUAUAAGUCUUCUUGAUGCACUGUAUUGUUAAGCCAUUAGACUUUGGUUUUGCAAGAGACGCACAGAAAACGCUUUCCCCUCCCCACCUCCUCCAGCUUUUGUGUGACCUGAAAUGUAGGUUCCGCUAGCAGUGAACUCAAUCACGGUUCUCUCCUAGGCUGCUAUUAAACCUUGGCUCUAACCAUCCAAGAAAUUAAUCUCCAAUGCCCAACCUCUCCUGGUCCCUACUGUGCUCUGUAGCAGCUGCACACCACCUUUGAUCCCCAACGGCAUGACUUCAUCCAUAAACCUACGUAUCUUGCUGUGACUAUUGAACCUCUUCCUACAGUCUGUUGUAAGUAAGGGCCAGGAGAAUCUUCAGGACUUUGGUGUUUUACAUGUGUCUGCCUCAAUCAUAGUUUACUUUUACUCUGGGUUUUAAAAAAUAGAAAGGAAGUCAAGGGCUUCUCUUUCCUCCCCCAAGCCCUAUCCUGGUCAGAUUCUUUGAUACAGAUGAUAACUUCCACAAUACAGGGAGGCAAAGAGGAGCCAAAAAGCUCCCACGUUUUUAUUAGAUAUUGGAUGCAAAUUUCAUUGGGAUCCCUGAUGGUGACUAUGUGUCUUUUACUCCAAAACCUUCUUUUAGUUUAAAAUGUUAUGAUCCUACCCAGGAAGUGAGUAUUUACAUGUUUAGGCCUUCAGAUAAAGGUAUUAUGGAACUAAUAAUAACAACAGCCAUUUGUCUAGUACGGUUAAACCCAUUUCACACAUCUCAGUAAUCCUUACAAUGGGCCUGUAAGGAGUUGUUUAUUAUUCCCAUUUUACAGAUGGACUAUUGAGAUGGAAUGAUCAUGGCUUGCCAAAUUCAUGGUAGAGGCAAGAACCAAACUGGUGACAUUUGGGUUCACAGCAUGCUCCUAACCAUGUCUACUCAGAGGUAAGUCUGAUUGAAUUCAUGGGCUUGACAACCAGAUAAGUGGAGUUAGGAUUGCAGUUGCCUAAGUUUAUUACUUUUACAGUUUUAGAAACCAAUUCUCAGUUCCCAACGAGAUUAAAAACAACAUUAAAAAGCAAGAUUCAUCCAAAGAGCCCAACCAGUGGAAGGCUUGCGCAAGGACAUUGGCUUGUACAAAAGGGCUUUGCUCUUGUACCUCCGAAAUUAGCUCUGGGGAGGUUCUGCAGAACCCCCUGGGCAGCACAAGUGGGGAGGAAACUGAAAUGAAUUGUACAGAUGGCAUAUUCAUAUUGGUGUGAUGGUGAAUCCAACCCAAUAAAUCCAUCCCUACAAAUGUACAAUUCAUAUUUCAUAAAGGACACCUCAGGGAAAGCCUUCUUAAUCAAAAAGGAGUUUUUCUUUUUCUUUUGCCAUUAUAUGCUACAAUUUUUCUAGUCCUUCGAUGGGAAAAUUGCCACUCUGGGGGGAAGAAAGGAGCUUCCAGAGAACAGCUGAAUUCACAGUGAGCACAUCUGCAUGACCAGGUUUGGUUUUAAACAAGAAUGCUAAGUUAAGAGAUUUUUUGGGCACAUGGCUUCACUUUUUUUGGCUGUUGUGUGAUGUCGAGGUCCCACCUUGCAAAAAUUCUCCUUUAAUUACUUCUAGGGAAGCAAGAUCCAGUUGGUAAACUCUGCAGCUCGAGGACAACUUUUCUUGCCAAGCAUGCAUUACCAAAGACUAAUUGUUAGCAUGGUGCACCUGCCUGCUCCCCUGGUAGGUAGAGCCAAUGAGAGGGGGGAAAGGUAAUUUAUUAAUGAUCAAGUCACAACUAGCAAUGAAAACAAUAGGAGUGUCUGCAGGCAGCACUGCUGGGGGCAGAGGUGCAGGUGCUUUGUGCCCUAAAUGGGAGAGUCGGCAUAUUUUUUUAUGAAGCUUGUUUGUAGCCCUUUCUCCAUUUCCUUCUGCUCUGUGCAUGCUCCCUUCCCUUCUCCAAAUGUUUUGCCUUCACAACAGGCUCAGCAUUCUUGCUUGGGGUGAUAAAAUAGCUGUCAACUUGAGCAUGGAGGAAAAGCACAGAAGCGAAAACACACACACACACAUGCACCAAACAACAACAAAAUAGCUGUAAAGACCAAAUGAAUUGGAGCUGAAUUUCCAUUGAAACAAGUGAUUUGUAUUGAGGCUACUAAUGUGGUACGUACAGCUAAAAAGGAAAAUGGCGAAAGAAUGCUUAUAGCUGUGGACACCUUUGAGGGGUUAAGGGCUACUUUCAGUCAGUGACUUAUUCUUUUUGUGAGAUUUGCUACAAAGUUUACUAGUAUGGAU